This 707-nucleotide ribosomal RNA is filed under the name uncultured bacterium. RNAcentral's name for it is "bacterial SSU rRNA". It matches the Rfam family "Bacterial small subunit ribosomal RNA", at positions 193 to 916 of the family's 1533-position model. The record is from RNAcentral.
CCGUAAGGGUAAAGAUUUAUCGUUUCGGGAGAGGCCUGCGUAAUAUCAGCUUGUUGGUGAGGUAAUGGCUCACCAAGGCUACGACGUUUAGGGGCGCUGAGAGGCGGACCCCCACCGAUGGGACUGAGACACGGCCCAUACUCCUACGGGAGGCCGCAGUCGAGAAUCUUCCGCAAUGGACGCAAGUCUGACGGAGCGACGCCGCGUGCUGGACGAAGUGCUUCGGUACGUAAACAGCUUUUAUCGGGGACGAAAUUAUUGACGGUACCCGAUGAAUAAGGGGCUCCUAACUCUGUGCCAGCAGGAGCGGUAAUACAGAGGCCCCAAGCAUUAUCCGGAAUCACUGGGCGUAAAGGGUGUCAAGGCGGUCAUGUUAGUCGUUCGUAAAAUCCGUGAGCUCAACUUACGGCCCGCGAGCGAAACGGCAUGACUUGAGGUUGGAAGAGGUGCGUGGAACUCAUGGUGUAGGGGUGAAAUCCGUUGAUAUCAUGGGGAACACCAAAUGCGAAGGCACUAUACUGGCGCACACCUGACGCUGAAACAUGAAAGCGUGGGAAUCGAACGGGAUUAGAUACCCCGGUAGUCCACGCCCUAAACGAUCCGAACUGGCUAUAAGGAGUAUCGACCCUCUUUGUGGCGAAGCUAACGCGUUAAGUUCGGCGCCUGGGUAGUACGGCCGCAAGGCUAAAACUCAAAGGAAUUGACGG